AGCUCAAAUAUCCCCCCUCCCAGAUAGAAUCAGGGGCGCCCUCCUUUGUGGCCGGGUAACCCACCAUCCCCCUCUGGACCGGAUUCUUCAUGUGUGUGGCCCUUGUCUUAUGAGUCACCGUGCUUCCUGGUGCAGCGCAGGCCCUGACUCACCCCGAGUGCCAGGGAAGUGUGGGCCUAACGGCUGUUCCCUCAUGGCUUCUUCCGCCUUCUGCAAAAUGGAAGUACUGAGAGAAUUACUAUUGGCCACAGUCUCUGCUUCGGUGUCUCCUUUCUGCGUGUCAGAGUUUCUAGGGUGUGAACUUGGCGUUCUGCCUGACCUGGCCGCAGUCCUUGUUCCCCUCCUUGCGGGGCCCCCUACCUAAGUGGCAUUCUUCAAACGGGGACGCAUCUUCCAAGCCAACAAGGGGUGCUGGACCCCCUCCCAGUGGUCCGGUGUGAGGAGACAGGGCCCUCCCGGGGUGGCUCGUCUGAGGAAGUAGAGGAGUCCCCUUCUUCAUGUCCCUGGAGAACACGGGGCUGGGAGACGAGGUGACAUUUGCGGCAGAGACUUGUCCACGGAACCCCCCACCCCCAGCCCUCCAGGAGCCUUCCAGUCUUCCUGCCCGCCCCUAUCUGGAGGGAUGCUGGCCAGAAGGGACAGGGUGGGAGCCGGAGGGGUGACUGGAGCAGGGCCCUCCUGCCCGUCUCCCUGCCUGGAGGACCUGAAUUGUCUUUCCGUUUUGCAGAAGAAAGUUGCUGCCAGAGAAUCCCACUCCUUCCCGGUUUCCCAGAGUCCAGAGACCCAGUGGUUCAUAAACUGCGCCCCCGCCCCUGUGCCCCCCAUCUCUCAACAAGCCCCGCCCCCCGUUCACAGGGGAGCUGAACCUAAAGGAAAUGACAGGGGAGAAGAUGUCAGGUUCCUCUCCCGUCCAUUUUUGCCCUGGCUUCAGGGAUGCUAUUUGAGACCUUGCCCCUAGUCUGGCCACUGUCGUUCUCACCCUUCUUCCCCAGAUUUCCCAAGAGGCCAAGUCUCGGCCCGAGAGUCUGGACACUGGCUCCCUUUGCAGCAUCGCCCUCGGAUGAGAGCGCCACGAAGGCUGGAGGCGGGGCGCACGUGGCCCUGGGUGGACACGGGCAGUUACUGAUGGAGCCCAGACCAUUAACGGUCUCCCGUGUCCGAAACCCUUCCAUUAAUAAGCGCUAAUGGCUGAUAUUUACCGAGGACCUGGUACGUCCCAGACAUGUUCUGAGUGCUCUCCUGCGUUAAGGAAAUGGAUUCGUUGACCACAUCUCUGUUUUGCAUACAAGGCAACUGAGGCACAGAGAGGAUGAGCUCCAUGAGCUUUCCAAGGUGACCAGAUCCGGUUCCCGUCCUCAGGUGUGAGCCGUCCCAAGUUGGAGUCAGAUGGGGAAACUGAGGCACGGAGAAGCCAUGUCAUGUGGUCCCACAACCAGGAAGUGGUGGAACAGGAUUCAAGUCGAGGCAGCCAGGCACUAGAGAGAGCUCUGCUCUUGAUCUCUGCCCUGCUUGUGAAUCCUGACCUUCCCCACUACCUUGUAUGGUGAAGCUGGGCUGUCCUUUCCAUUACCAGGUGGAACUCUUGGCCAGAGGCAUACAGUCACAGGUGGUUGAGGAUCACCUCUCUAGCCCCUGGCCCCAUCCCCUCUUCCCCAAGGCAGCCUUCCCACCCUCAACAGCUCCAGCUUCUGGAACCCCAGGUUUGUUCAUUCCCACACCCCAGAGUCAGUCCCAGCUCUUGAAAAGCCAAGGUAGUCAGUCUGGUCUUAAAGCGAAUGACCUGAUUGGGAGGGUGGCCCAAGCCUCCUGGAGUCCAGGGGGAAGGAGGUUUGCAACCCACAGCCACGGUUUACUACAUUUUUCUCGGCCACUCUGAGCAAUGCUUCUCACCUGUGGGCCAGACCUUGCUCCCCCACUUGGCAAAGUGGAGACCCAAAGAGUAGUGUCAGACCAGGUACGGAUCCGGCCGACCCAGAUGGCCACUUCCUCUGCAAGCUGGUAGGACUUAGGAGAGGCAGUGCACAGCCCCAGAGCCCCCAACAGGUGCUCCCCCAGCCCCUGCCACACUGCUUCUAGGGACAGAGCACUGGCUACCUCAGAAGGCAGCUGACCCACUUUGAGUGACACCUUGACCCAAUGCUUUUAUUGUAAACUUUUCCAUGCUUCCUUCCCCAGCUCUGUGGAGACAGUACUCUGGGCUGAGGUCAUCUUAAAGGCUUGCAAAAUCCUUGAGAUGGAAGGUGCCUAAUACAUUGUUGAAAAUAACAGAUCUUAUCAAGGGUGAAGAAAGCAAGAAACAAAAAAGCGGCCAAUUCUAAUGCCAGGAUUGGGAUCCCGGGGGGGAAGGAGAAGGCUGGAAUCCCUGCUGCUGGGGACCAGGGUGGACAUGCGCAGCGUACCCAUGCCACCGUUUACUGAGCACUGGGUGCCAGCCCCAGGGUUCUCUUAAACCCUCACAAUCCUGUGAAAAAGGGUGAUGCUGCAGAGAAGGAAACUGAGGCACAGAGGGGUGUAACAUGCCCAAGGUGGCCCAGCUUGCAAGCAGCAGAGAUGGGAUUUGAAUCCAGGCCUGUGUAUUUUGGAGCCCUGGAUGUGUAAGACUCCGUCUCAGGAACCCAGGACGCAGCUGACCCCUCCUCCAGGGAAAACCUGGAUGGCAUAAAAAGGUUUUGUUGUGUUUGAAAUGUUAGAGAAGAAAAGAACAAAAAGAAAAGAAAGGAAAAGAAAAGAAAGAAAAGAAAAGAAAAAAAGA
Molecule: long non-coding RNA, 2752 nt
Organism: Felis catus (domestic cat)
Lineage: Eukaryota; Metazoa; Chordata; Mammalia; Carnivora; Felidae
Exons: 3
Source: RefSeq, a predicted model, not a curated record